UGGUGGAGUGAUUUGUCUGGUUAAUUCCGUUAACGAACGAGACCUCGACCUGCUAAAUAGUACCAGCUAUCCUCGGAUAGUCUGGUCACUUCUUAGAGGGACUAUCGGCGGUGUACCCGAUGGAAGUUCGAGGCAAUAACA
Molecule: ribosomal RNA, 141 nt
Filed under: uncultured eukaryote
Lineage: Eukaryota
Description: partial 18S ribosomal RNA
Rfam family: Eukaryotic small subunit ribosomal RNA
Source: RNAcentral